Long non-coding RNA from Manis pentadactyla (Chinese pangolin), 813 nucleotides. RefSeq lists it as uncharacterized. Lineage: Eukaryota; Metazoa; Chordata; Mammalia; Pholidota; Manidae. The transcript has 4 exons. The record is from RefSeq and is a predicted model, not a curated record.
UGUAGUUUCUGCACUGUUUCAUUUGUCUGUUCCUCUCGCCUGGGUUACCUUCUCUUUCAUGAUCAGCUCAAGAGUAAUAUCCACCAGGAAGCCUCAUCUCACCAACUGGCUCUCCCGCCUGGCCAAGUUCAGCCUGUGCACGCGGGCCUGUUCGUGUUGGAGGUUUCAAGGGAGAAGUGGUUGGGGAGUGUAUGGGCCCAGCGGGCGUGGCAUUAUGGGAAUCCUGGAGACUCACAGAACAUCAGGGUCUCCAGGGCAUGAACCUGAUGAUGGCAGCCCUGCCUCUCCCAAGUUCUGCUCUCGGCCCUCCUUUCCCUAUAACAGAGAAGGCAGAAGGCAACGCAAACAUAUUCUAAUCAUGAAACAAAAGAGGGAGAGCUGGAGAAACAGGAGGACAGCAAAUGAGGAAGGAGCCUGUUUACAAAGUCCAUCCCAAAAGUUAUUAAGUAGUGGGAGAGGAAGACAUCUCAGUCCAGGACACUAAACUUCAAGUAGGAAUGCUGCUGCUGGGUCCUUCCCACAUGAACAUUCUGGAGCUUCCCACUGUGUGGUAGGGAUAUGACAAGUCCCCAAGUGACUUCACAGCGUGGCUCAACAGUUUGUGAGAAGUGCAAUGAGAGAAGCACAGCAGAGAGGAGGAGAGACAAAAGCAGCUGUGAGCCCCACUCUGUUCAGCUGGGCCACUGGUUGCUUCACUUGGCAUCUUUCUGAGACAUCACUGUGAAUUAUGUAGAUCUGUCAUGUGGGCAAAAUGUGAAACAUAUCCAAGUGUUGUAUUCUAAAAUUGUACUUAAUAAAAAAUAAAGAAACAUU